GGUUGACCUCGGAUCAGGUAGGGAUACCCGCUGAACUUAAGCAUAUCAAUAAGCGGAGGAAAAGAAACCAACAGGGAUUGCCCCAGUAACGGCGAGUGAAGCGGCAAGAGCUCAAAUUUGAAAGCUGGCUCCUUCGGGGUCCGCAUUGUAAUUUGCAGAGGAUGUUUCGGGAGUGGCCCCCAUCUAAGUGUCCUGGAACGGACCGUCAUAGAGGGUGAGAAUCCCGUAUGGGAUGGGGUGCCCACGCCCGUGUGAAACUCCUUCGACGAGUCGAGUUGUUUGGGAAUGCAGCUCUAAAUGGGUGGUAAAUUUCAUCUAAAGCUAAAUAUUGGCCGGAGACCGAUAGCGCACAAGUAGAGUGAUCGAAAGAUGAAAAGCACUUUGAAAAGAGAGUUAAAAAGCACGUGAAAUUGUUGAAAGGGAAGCGUUUGCGAUCAGACUCGCCGACGGGGUUCAGCCUGCCUUCGGGCAGGUGUACUUCCCCGCCGGCGGGCCAGCGUCGGUUUGGGUGGCCGGUCAAAGGCCCUAGGAAUGUAACGCCUCUCGGGGCGUCUUAUAGCCUAGGGUGUCAUGCGGCCUACCCGGACCGAGGAACGCGCUUCGGCUCGGACGCUGGCAUAAUGGUCGUAAACGACC
RNAcentral lists this ribosomal RNA (636 nucleotides) under Penicillium sclerotiorum. Its description in RNAcentral is "eukaryotic LSU rRNA". It matches the Rfam family "Eukaryotic large subunit ribosomal RNA", at positions 1 to 649 of the family's 3401-position model. The record is from RNAcentral. Lineage: Eukaryota; Fungi; Ascomycota; Eurotiomycetes; Eurotiales; Aspergillaceae.